GUCCGUGAUUAUAGAGAGUUGGAAACGCCUUGACCCAUCCCGAACCAAGAAGCUAAGCAACUCAUCGCUGAUGAUACUCUCUCUUACUGAGAUGUGGGAAAGUAGGUCUUUGCGGACU
RNAcentral lists this ribosomal RNA (118 nucleotides) under Campylobacter corcagiensis. The record is from RNAcentral. Lineage: Bacteria; Pseudomonadati; Campylobacterota; Epsilonproteobacteria; Campylobacterales; Campylobacteraceae.